AAAAAUAGAGAGAGAAAGGAGAAAGUAGAAGAAGUUUGGAUUUGGGAGAGAGGAAGAGCAGAGAUGACAAACCGCCGUUGGAGAUCGAAUCCAAGGCAAGAAACUUCGAAGCAAUACUUCUCUCGGUGCUGGAAAAGAAGUUUGGGUGGUGGAUCCACUCAUUCUGGCAAGAAAAUCCGAGAACGGACAAAGAGGAGAGAGGAGGCAUCGCCGCCACGCAUCGGCCGGCGUAUGGAGGAGCUCGACAGGACCAACGAGCGAUGCAUGGCGACCGCGGGCUGGAGAAGCGCAUCAGGCGCGCGCAACCGGGUUGGCCUGAGUUUGAACCAUGUGAACUGAACCGAACCGGCCGCUGGCCCGCGAUUGCGCGGGAAGUUGCACGUGGACACGCGCGCAUAGUACACCCUCCAAAGCGCGUCAGUCGUGCGUGUAAGCGCGACCUAUCAAGAAAAUUCCAGAAUUUUUGGAACCUUUUCCGGCAAAUAGUUCGAGCAUGGGAAGACACACGUCAACCAAGUAAGUAGCCAUUUAGAUUUUCACGAGCAAUACUUGUAAGAACCGCUUGGAAUAAGCAUGCAUGCUAUCAUACCCAUAAACUUAGUUAGCCGUACCUAGCAAAUUAGUAUGUAAACCAUGAAAAUGAAAUAAAUAACGAAGUCUAUGACUUCUAGAUAUGAAUGAUUAUGUAAUUUGUUUAGAUUGAGAUUAUGAUAAUGUAUGUAUGCACGAGGAGGAUGGGAAACUUGUGAAAGCUGCACUCCGAGUGAAGAUGGAUGUUAUUUUCCCACUGAGCAUGUUUGUUAAUAUUGCAUGAACUGCUACGUGUUAACUCCUAUGCAUGAUGUUUGCUUGCGUUAUCUUUCUUGAUGAAUAGGAAGAAAUUGUGAGCUUAGAUUAGAGUGCUUGUGACUAAGUAGGCUAGACGAGACCCUAGGUUGGGGGAUCUCUAGAAUACCAUGCAUUUAGACCUGCGAAAUGAUUAUCGGUGGAUCUAGAGCUCAGAAUUCCAAACAUGAUAGGUUUGUGAUACCUUGCACGAGAAUCCUAGAGAUGCAUGAAUCCAAGUCUAAGCCACCAAGUUCCACCCCUAGAUAGAAUAGUAGGUCACCACAGUAACUGUAAGUAGCCCGCUAGAGUUGAGCAGUGUGGAUAGUGUCAUCAGAACCUCCACUUUCCUCUCUGCUCCGAUACCGUACCGUCGAGACAGAGCUCCGGUACAGAGAUCAUUGAGCUUGGCAGAUCCGGAUAGGGAAGUGUGACAGGUGCCCAGACCUAGUGGUGAUAGCUAAGGAGUCUUCUAAACAGGACUCCUAGGCCAUAAAAACCGUCCCUGAGCGGGAGAUGUGGAGCCACGUAGGAUGACUUAGUAGCUGACCGGCACACAGAGGGCACCCCGAAUUUAGUGGAUGUAUGGUCCCGUGUGAGGGUUGUCAGCUAACCUCCACGGAUGAUGUUCAGAGAGAGUCACGUAUUCAGAUUCAGCCAUACGAUCCCCUCAGAUUUACUUAUGAGGUCGUGCCUCACCUCAAGACAUUGAUCCUUCCACUGCAUAAGAUGGGCAAGCCUUCUAAGAUACAAGAAAGAGAGUUUUAGUAUGAUUCGCACUCACUAGAACCCAGAGAUUAGACCGUGUAUACCUACUCAAAUAAGGAUGCGAAAAGAGACUACAAGUAGGUUGCUUACUGAGUAUAUUUAUAUACUCACUUCUUUCUCCUCUUUUUUUUUCAAGUACCAGUCAAUACGGGGAGGUGUUUGAGAGCUGCACUGUCACAGAGGGGUGUCGUUACGGAGCGUCAGUCCCUUGUCGGUCUUUCAGAGUCCUUCGUCCGUUUUCAUAUUUGGAGUCUUCUGUAUUUUAUUUUAUAUUUGUAAUUCCCAUUUGUUGCAUUUGACUUUCAUUUUAUAUUUAAUUUUG
RNA transcript from Cucurbita moschata (crookneck pumpkin), 1915 nucleotides. RefSeq lists it as uncharacterized. The record is from RefSeq and is a predicted model, not a curated record. Lineage: Eukaryota; Viridiplantae; Streptophyta; Magnoliopsida; Cucurbitales; Cucurbitaceae. The transcript has 3 exons.